RNAcentral lists this ribosomal RNA (303 nucleotides) under uncultured Fusobacterium sp. RNAcentral describes it as "bacterial SSU rRNA". It matches the Rfam family "Bacterial small subunit ribosomal RNA", at positions 1212 to 1513 of the family's 1533-position model. Lineage: Bacteria; Fusobacteriati; Fusobacteriota; Fusobacteriia; Fusobacteriales; Fusobacteriaceae. The record is from RNAcentral.
GGCUACACACGUGCUACAAUGGGUAGUACAGAGAGUCGCAAAGCCGUGAGGUAGAGCUAAUCUCAGAAAACUAUUCUUAGUUCGGAUUGUACUCUGCAACUCGAGUACAUGAAGUUGGAAUCGCUAGUAAUCGCGAAUCAGCAAUGUCGCGGUGAAUACGUUCUCGGGUCUUGUACACACCGCCCGUCACACCACGAGAGUUGGUUGCACCUGAAGUAGCAGGCCUAACCGUAAGGAGGGAUGCUCCGAGGGUGUGAUUAGCGAUUGGGGUGAAGUCGUAACAAGGUAUCCGUACGGGAACGU